CAUGUUCUUGGAAUUUUGUCUCAAUUGUGGAAAGGAGGAAAAAUGGUAACUUUAAUUAUAAUGACAAUCCUGAAUUGCUGGAGUUUAAGGUAAAGUAUAAAGAUGAAAUUUCACACAACCAUAAAAAAAUUAUGAAAAUAAAUAUGCAAUUCAACCAUUGUCAUGAUGAUAAGUUGGGCCAUGGACUGGACUGAAUGUUGUCCUUGGAAGGGUCAUGAAAUUGGAGGGUCCAGAUUCAUGGGCAGGUG
RNAcentral lists this unclassified non-coding RNA (248 nucleotides) under Hevea brasiliensis (rubber tree). The record is from RNAcentral. Lineage: Eukaryota; Viridiplantae; Streptophyta; Magnoliopsida; Malpighiales; Euphorbiaceae.